CUUGGACAAAGGUGGUCUAUUAACAAAAUAGUAGAUACCACAUAACUAUGGAGUCUAAAGUAAGAUGCUAAAGCAUUUCAAUAACAUUAGAAGAGGACGGGCCUCAAGCCAGUGCUGCCAGAAUUUGGUGAUCACCUCCUCCAACCACAUAAAAGAUUGAGGUUGAAAAAUAAUCAGAAGAGAAAACUUCUUUGGAAAAAGUUGUUGAGUAUUUUACUUCUCCUCAGAUGAAGCAUCUAGAUCCAAAAUGCUGGUUGUCUUUCAUCUAAAACAGUCUCAGAGACCAAUUCUACCUGGUUGGCUGUCUGUGACUCACUCCGCUCAAGUUCACAGGAUUCUGAUUAAUUAGCAGGGCAAGUUUCUACCCUGCAUUAUUUAUCACACAAUCUCCAGUUUCAAGACUUCCAGUAUCAACUCUAUGGGCCAAACAAUACAACAUACAGUGACUUGUAAAGAGUUCUUUUCAAAUAAACUCAGCUUCAAAACAACCAACACCCACGCUAGUCUGCAAUGGGUAGUCCUCUUCUGCCCAGACACGUCAUCAAACAGUACAGUGAUGAUAUAAGCCAGAGUUAACAACCCAAUAGCUUGAUUUCCCUGGAGAUAAAGAGAAAGUAUCUUUGUGUGACUUGGAUUUUCCCGAGAAUAUUUAGGAACCUAGACAAGUUUUCAAACAUGACUAGGACCAGACUGCCUCUUUGCUUAUGAAUGUCCCUCUCCUGGUUGAGGAGACUGCUUAAUGGCGCAGGCUGGAGAUCAUACCCAGCUCUACACUAACUCAGCAACUCAAAAGCCAAGCAAGAGGAAUCCUGGGCCGAUCUCUCCUCACUCCAUGCAAAUCUGCUUUGGCUCAGCUGGGUGUCCAGUGGGCUGAGUCAUGUAAUUACACCAUGGGAAACAGAAGACGGGACUGCGCUUACAUGCUACCAACUGAUCCCAUAAGCUCCAUUAUUUAUUUUAAUAAAACAUGGUUGUGCUUG
This 980-nucleotide long non-coding RNA is filed under the name Equus asinus (donkey). Its description in RNAcentral is "lncRNA (ENSEASG00005037712.1)". The record is from RNAcentral. Lineage: Eukaryota; Metazoa; Chordata; Mammalia; Perissodactyla; Equidae.